GGUAAAAUGGCCGAAGUAGGUGUAGGGUUGUAGCCCCUUUUAUAAAGGUAAAGUCCUUUUUUUAUCA
RNAcentral lists this transfer RNA (67 nucleotides) under Hynobius leechii (Gensan salamander). RNAcentral's name for it is "tRNA-Tyr". It matches the Rfam family "tRNA". From Rfam's summary of the family: Transfer RNA (tRNA) molecules are approximately 80 nucleotides in length. Their secondary structure includes four short double-helical elements and three loops (D, anti-codon, and T loops). Further hydrogen bonds mediate the characteristic L-shaped molecular structure. tRNAs have two regions of fundamental functional importance: the anti-codon, which is responsible for specific mRNA codon recognition, and the 3' end, to which the tRNAs corresponding amino acid is attached (by aminoacyl-tRNA synthetases). tRNAs cope with the degeneracy of the genetic code in two manners: having more than one tRNA (with a specific anti-codon) for a particular amino acid; and 'wobble' base-pairing, i.e. permitting non-standard base-pairing at the 3rd anti-codon position. Lineage: Eukaryota; Metazoa; Chordata; Amphibia; Caudata; Hynobiidae. The record is from RNAcentral.